GAUGAACGCUGGCGGCGUGCCUAAUACAUGCAAGUCGAGCGAACAGACGAGGAGCUUGCUCCUCUGACGUUAGCGGCGGACGGGUGAGUAACACGUGGAUAACCUACCUAUAAGACUGGGAUAACUUCGGGAAACCGGAGCUAAUACCGGAUAAUAUAUUGAACCGCAUGGUUCAAUAGUGAAAGACGGUUUUGCUGUCACUUAUAGAUGGAUCCGCGCUGCAUUAGCUAGUUGGUAAGGUAACGGCUUACCAAGGCAACGAUGCAUAGCCGACCUGAGAGGGUGAUCGGCCACACGGGAACUGAGACACGGUACAGACUCCUACGGGAGGCAGCAGUAGGGAAUCUUCCGCAAUGGGCGAAAGCCUGACGGAGCAACGCCGCGUGAGUGAUGAAGGUCUUCGGAUCGUAAAACUCUGUUAUUAGGGAAGAACAUAUGUGUAAGUAACUGUGCACAUCUUGACGGUACCUAAUCAGAAAGCCACGGCUAACUACGUG
Molecule: ribosomal RNA, 497 nt
Filed under: uncultured bacterium
Lineage: Bacteria
Description: partial 16S ribosomal RNA
Rfam family: Bacterial small subunit ribosomal RNA
Source: RNAcentral